GAGAGAGAUCCCCUCUUUUCAAUGAGUUAAUGUGCCCUUCUCAGGAACAUUGGCAACUUGGAAGAAAACCUGGUCUGCCUGAGGUCCUUUCAGAGCAAGGGAUGCUUGUUUCAUUUACCUUCCUUUGACUGCCUACGUAU
Small nucleolar RNA from Mesocricetus auratus (golden hamster), 140 nucleotides. NCBI's taxonomy places the organism in Eukaryota, Metazoa, Chordata, Mammalia, Rodentia, Cricetidae. The record is from Ensembl.